AGUAAUCCACGCCUGAAGCAUGGAAGGCCAAUCGGUUCCAAAGAUAUAAAUCCUUGUAAAAGGAAAGGAGCAAUUAUUCAAUAUGGUAAUAUUGUGAAGGCAAAUGCCCCAGAAGAGGCCAAAGAUAUAACUAAUCAAAAAACCCCAGAAGAGGUUCAGGUACCUGAAAAUGGUGAUAACUAAGAAAUCUCAAUAAGUUAUGUUACUUCAAGAAAAAUAUGGAACCGAAAAAAUAUAGUUGCCGAGAACAAUUUUGCUUAGAAUGUUGCUACUGAAAUAGCAAAAGAAAAUGAGGAUCCUAAGCCUAAAUCUAUUGAGGAAUGUAGAAAUACAAAAGAUUGGCCAAAAUAGAAAGACGCAAUUCAAGCAGAAUUAAAUUCACUUUCUAAACAUGAGGUUUUUGGACCUAUAGUCCAAACCCCUAAAUAUGUAAAGCUGGUAAGAUAUAAAUGGAUAUUUGUACGAAAAAUUAAUGAGAAAAAUGAAGUCGUAACAUAUAAAUCACGACUUAUAGCACAAGGAUUUUUGCAAAGACUCGACAUUGAUUAUGAAGAGACAUAUUCUCCUGUGGUGGAUGCAAUCACGUUUAGAUACCUUAUUAGUCUAGCAGUAUGUGAAAAAUUUGACAUACAUCUAAAGGAUAUCGUUACAACUUAUUUGUAUGGCACACUUGAUAGUGAAAUUUAUAUGAAAAUCCUAGAAGGAUUUAAAAUCCCUGAAGGAUAUAGAGUUUCCCGGGAAAAUUGCUUAAUCAGAUUAAAAAAAGUUUAUAUGGAUUAAAAUAAUCUGGACGUAUGUGGUACAAUCCUCUUAGUGAAUAUUUGUUAAAAGAAGGUUAUAAAAAUGAUCCAAUCUGCCCAUGUGUUUUUAUAAAAAGGUCUGAAUCAAACUUUUUGAUAAUUGCUAUUUAUGUUGAUGAUCUAAAUAUUAUUGGAACUCUUGAGCUUCAAAAUGAAGUAAAUUAUUUAAAGAAAGAAUUUGAGAUGAAAGAUCUUGGAAUAGCAAAAUUUUGUCUUGGCCUGCAAAUCGAGCAUUUAAAAAGAUGCAAUUCAUGUCCAUCAGUCAACUUAUACAAAAAAGAUCUUAAAAAAUUUUAUAUGGAUAAAGCACAUCAAUUGAGUACCCCAAUGGUUGUACGAUUGUUAGAUGUAAAUAAAGAUAAAUUUUGUCCUUGUGAGAAUGAUGAAUAGUUUCUUGGUCCUAAUGUACCAUAUCUAAGUGUCAUAGGAGCAUUGAUGUAUCUUGCAAACAACACAAGACCUGAUAUAGCUUUUGCUGUAAACUUGUUAGUAAGAUUUAGUUCUUCUCCAACACGUAGACAUUGGAAUGGAAUUAAACAUGUAUUUAGAUAUCUUAGAGGGACCAUUGAUAAGGGGAUAUUUUAUUCAAAUGAUUCAAAAUCCCUAUUAGUUGGUUAUGCUGAUGCUGGAUAUUUAUUAGAUCCACAUAAAGGUCGAUCUCAAACGGGAUAUUUAUUUACAUGUGGAGGUACUGCCAUAUCAUGGCGUUCGACAAAGCAAACAUUACCUGCUGCCUCUUCAAAUCAUGCUGAAAUAAUUGCAAUGCAUGAGGCAAGUCGAGAGUGUGUUUAACUAAGGUUAUUAACCCAACAUAUCUAGAAGAUAUAAUUUUCCUUUUACAGGAAAAUAUGCCAACUAUCUUAUAUGAAAAUAAUGCAGCAUGUAUAGCUCAAUUAAAGGGUGGCUAUAUCAAAGGUGACAGAACGAAACACAUUUCACCAAAAUUAUUCUUCACUCAUGAUCUUGAGAAGAAGUGUGACAUAGAAGUUCAACAAAUUCAUUUCAGUGAUAAUUUAGCGGAUCUUUUUACCAAGGCAUUGCCAACUUCAACAUUUGAAAGACUAUGAAACAAGAUUGAAAUGCGUCGACUCAAAGAUAUAAUGCGAUGUCGUCAUUAGGGGAGUCUAAAACAUGUUGUACUCUUUUCCUUUAACCAAGGUUUUGUCCCACUAGGUUUUCCUGAUAAAGGUUUUUAACAAGGUAACUUGUAAUAAGAGAUUGUGUACUAUUUUUCCUUCAGUAGAUUUUUACCCCACAUGGUUUUUCCUAAUAAAGGUUUUAAUGAGGCACUGUUUUCUCUAGUGGACAUCCAAGAAGGAGUGUUAUAAAUAAAUGUGAAUGUCCAUAUUCUAACACCCCAUCAUUUAUGAGGUAAAACCUCCCCUUCAUUAUGCAAUGUUUAAUAUAUGCAUUAAUGAAGCACUUAAGUAAGCUUCAUUUAUGGUAUUGCAUUGAAUGUUAAUUACUUAUAAAUUAUAAAUAGAAUCCUUACCUGAGUGAAAUAAAAAAAAAAGAAAAAAAUUCUAUUUUCAUUCACUUUUAUUUAUUGUUUUAUCGUUUUCUUAUAACAAUAUAAUGGUAUUUUCAUCUUUUACUAUUUCUAUAUUAAAUGUUUACAUAAAUGAACUAAAGAUACUGUAUUUAAGAUUUAAACCUAAUUUUUGGAAAAGUAUUCAUUUUGCCUAAAACUCAAUUGUUGCUUAUUUUUCUUUUGGUUUUUUAAAAAUAUAAUUUUAAUAUUAAAAUUUAUUUUCACCCACAUCUAUAAAAUUUAAUUAUUGGUUCUUACUUGGAUGUAUUUUUGUUGAUUAGAAAAUGAGAAGUCGGAAAAUUUUUAAAAUUGGAAAAUUUUUGGAUACACCGAAAUGUAUUAUUGCCGCCAUAGUUCCAAAAAACCAUCCAGAACCUAAGCAAAAGUUAAAUUGAAUCUUGUGCCUGUUAAAUUAGAUUGUUUUUACAUUUCUAUUAAUUAAAAUUAAUGAAUUAAAAAAUAUUAUUGUUUUUUAAUAUUAAUCUUAGUAUAGAUUGUUAUCAUAUUUGUAUUUUUUUAUACAAUACCUAAAACUAUCCAUAAUCUCUCAUCAACCCUUAAAUAGGAGGAUAAUGCACUUCAACAUACUCGAACUCAUGUCCUUCUACACUAACAAUAAUAUUGAUGUAAGAAUUGUCAAAUUACAUCUACGAUAAUAUAUAUAUCAUUUACUUUGAGAAUGAAAAUCAUCUUUACAAAUUUGCCCUUUAAAAAAAUAUAAGUCAUGAGAAAAAUGUUAACUUUGUUUCCCCUCUCUUUUUAAUACUUUAAACAAUCAUUGUAUCAACAAUGGUAUUAUUUAUAAAGAAUUUGUUCUAGAUCUAUUUAAUCCUGAUAAAACAUAUCUACUCUUAUAUCUACUAAAGUUAGUGUUGGGAAGAGAAAGAGACAAUCCACAUCGACUAACUAAUAAUUAAAUUGUGACACAUAAGAACAUUUUCAAAAAAAAAAUUAUUUUUAAAAAUGAUUUUUUGUAAAUCAAACCAUUCUUUAACAAAGAAGGUUUACAACUAAUACAACACAAUUGUGUCUAAUACGUUACUUAAGUGCCCUCUACUUGAAUUCAUUUUAAUAUUAUUAUUUGACUAUACAAUUAAAACCCAUAUGAAGUCAAUUGCGUUUUAACUCGAUUGGUAUGAGCAUUGUUGUCAAAACAAGAGGACGUGGGUUAGAUUGCGCUGAAGUAUAUUAUCCUCUUAUUUAUGAAUUGAGGAGGGAAUAUGAAUAGUUUUAAGUAUUGUAUCAAGAAAAUAGAUAUAAGAUAUUUCAAAAAAGAAAAAAAAUCACCUGAAAAUCUUAAAAAAAAAUUACAAAUUACUCGUAAAAGGAUGCACGCAAAAUAGCCCAUUAUUUGGGCAAGACAAAAUAGCCCAAAUUAAAGCCCAUAAAAACGUAAAAAAAUCCAAAGCUAAGGCCCUAAUGUAACCAAGCAUGUGGCUACCAAUCAGUUCCAAACAUGUGGUCGCCGCUCAAUCUUAAUCACACGUCACAAACUUCUAUGUAAUCCUCCAAACGCCAAGGGUUAAUUCCAUCAAAUAUCCUCAAACUAUUGCUCAAAAUCUAAAUUGAUCUUUAAAUUUCAAAAUAUUCUAAUUGAGUCUUUAAAGGAUAAGUAUUGUAUAAUCAAAGCUUUUUUUUAGCCUAACCAUUAAUUAAAUACUAAUUCAGCUUCGACAUAGAGUAUCUUAAAACAUAUGGAUCGAAUUGAAAAAUUAUGUACCUAUCACAUUUAAUCAAAAUUGUCAAUGCAUUGGAUGCACACAUGUUAAUAAAAUUUAAGAAGACUAUGCAUUUAUUUUUAAAAUUAUCAAAUAAAAAUUUUCUAAAUAUAUUUAUAAUUUGAUUUACCUAUUUUAAAUAUGAUAUAGUCAUAUUCAUAUUGGAAUUUAAUGCCAAAAUUGAUGUGUAUAUUAACUAAAAGACAUGAUUGUUAUAAUAUUAAUACUUCAAGAUCACAAAUAAAGGAUUUUAAAAUUCAAGGACAAAUUUAAAAUUUAGAUAGUAAUUUAAGGACGUUUGGUGCAGUUAAUCCCCUAAUCUUUGUCCCUUUUGCUCCUGAUGAAACGAAGACUCAAUGAUUUUUCUCUAAUCCAACGGCUCAAAUUCUCCCAUAAUAAUAUCUUUCGCUAAUGCUCUAUUAUCGUGUCUCUAUCUCUACGACUUUUUGCAGAUAAAAACGCUAACUAAAACGAACAUAUAAAUCAUCCUAUUUUUAAUUUAUAUUUUGAAAAAAAGAUUAUUCCUGAUUUUUUUAGGUUUCCGGCAAUGUUAUCUACUGAAUUUCUACGACCGGCGACGAUAACAUUCCACGGUAAAUUCAGCACAAAUUCUUACUCUAAUCUUCUUUAUCUACAUGGAUUAAACUUCAAAGCCAUUCGGUUUAGGGUUUUGCAACAAAAAACGAACCGUUUCUUCCCCAAUUCUAUCACUUCCACCCUAAAGAACGUCGCCGUUGUGGGAAACCACGAGAGAUUAAAUCUUUACGGAAGAGGUAAAUUAAGGUUCAAAGAGAGCAAAAUUUUGGCUAAUUGUACGGACAGCAGCGAUUCGAAGGCGAGCUCCGGCGAGAAAAAUGAAAGCGAAGGUGGGCAAGGAGUGACGCAGAAACAGAGUCCGUCAAAUUCGGGGGGUUCGACUAAUCAGAGAGGAGAAAAGGGUGGAAGAAGCGGGUUGUGGAGGUCCAAAGGAAAGAAAUGGCAGUGGCAACCGAUAGUUCAAGCUCAAGAAAUUGGUGUUUUGCUUUUACAGUUGGGUGUUGUUAUGUUCGUUAUGCGACUGCUCCGACCCGGGAUUCCGUUGCCCGGGUCCGAGCCUAGGAUCCCGACGACUUUUGUCAGCGUUCCUUACAGCGAGUUUUUGAAUAAGAUUAAUAGUAAUCAGGUUCAAAAGGUGGAGGUUGAUGGAGUUCAUGUAAUGUUCAAACUGAAGAACGAAGGGAGCGUUCAAGAGAGUGAAAUUGGUAAGUUUCAGGAGUCGGAGUCCUUGUUGAGGAGUGUGGCGCCUACAAAGCGAAUUGUAUAUACAACAACUCGGCCUAGUGAUAUUAAGACUCCAUAUGAGAAGAUGCUGGAAAACGAUGUGGAGUUCGGGUCUCCCGAUAAGCCAUCUGGUGGAUUCUUCAACUCUGCAUUGGUAAGUUGUGUUUUUUGUUUGUUGUCAUGAUUUGAAUGAAACUAGAUUAAUUGCUUCUUUUUAAAAAAAAAAAAAAAGAAGAAGCUUUUGUUAGAGUUCUUAAUGAGUUAACCAGUUGAAUGGUAAUGGUUUUGUUGGGGGUAGCAGUUUUUUUGUGGUAGGCUGCCUGAUUGAAGUAUGUAAUCUAGGAGAGGAGAGGAUCUUCUCUUGCCUUCUUUGGACUAGGAAUCUCAAAGAGUGAUCUGAUGGGCCCUCUAUUAUUGGGUAAUCUAUUUCCUCUUCAGGUGGCAGGAAUGUAGAGGUUGUAGUUGGUGGACUAUGAUUGGUUAUAAUUUGGGACAAGAAUACCUUCAGUUACUCCGUUCACUUGGUUCUUUCUAAAUCAUGUGUUUGUAUACGUCUGUGGAUUUUUGAUUUGACUUCCUCUCUUUUGCAGAUAGCUUUGUUCUAUGUUGCUGUUCUUGCGGGACUUCUCCAUCGGUUCCCUGUGAAUUUUUCUCAGGUUUGAAUUUGCUUGUAAGCUCUUUGAGUACAUUAAUGUUUUUGUAGUACUGAUAGUUCUGAUUUGAAUCAUGCAUAUAUGCAGCAUACAGCUGGUCAGAUUAGGAAUCGCAAGACAAGGAGUUCUGGGGGUUCAAAAGCCUCUGAACAAGGUGAAACAAUAACUUUCGCUGAUGUGGCUGGUGUUGAUGAGGCAAAGGAGGAACUUGAAGAAAUUGUGGUAUUUUAAAUAUUAUUCCACUUAAUAUGCUACCAGUAAUUGAUAUUUGCAGUGAAUGCUCCCUUGAAGUUCUAGUAUUGUCUUUAUAUUCUUAUGUUUACUGCCCAGGAAUUUCUUAGGAAUCCAGACAGGUAUAUACGGCUUGGUGCUCGUCCUCCACGAGGAGUUCUCCUGGUGAGUUGAUACUAGGGACAUUAAGCAUGAUGGGCUUUCUGAAAAAAUUAGCUGAAACUAUAUUUGAUGCUGUUGAAGAAGCUUUUGGUCUAAGAAGUCAGGGCCUAUGUGAAAAACUUCAUUAAUAUCUGAAAAUUCUGGCAUUAAGUUUGCUACUUCUGUCUCUUACUCUUAGAAUAUCUUCAUCAAAAGCUUUUGGUCCUCUAAAGCUUUCUACUUGUCAUUCUUGUCAAGAUAAGUUCACAAAGUUUCAGAUGGAAUUCAGCGUGUUCACUGUCUCCACUUAGUUCUCAGAUGCUAGUGUUAUAUGAUGGUUUCCUUGCAUGGUUACCUCUUUUCUGAAAACUAUAGUCAGUAUUUAUGAUUUUAUUUGUGAUGCAGGUGGGUCUUCCUGGGACAGGCAAGACUCUUCUAGCAAAAGCUGUGGCUGGUGAGGCCGAAGUUCCAUUCAUAAGUUGUUCUGCAAGUGAGUUUGUAGAGUUGUAUGUUGGCAUGGGUGCAUCACGAGUUAGAGAUCUCUUUGCACGAGCUAAGAAGGAGGCACCAUCAAUAAUUUUUAUUGAUGAGGUCAGCCUGUGAGCAUUAUAAUUUUGUUGGAACAAUAUGUUUAACCUCUUUUUUGUACAGUAGAGUUUUGUAACACCUUUCCUUGCACACAGAUAGAUGCCGUGGCUAAAAGUCGCGAUGGUAAAUUUCGCAUUGUUAGCAAUGACGAACGGGAGCAAACUUUGAACCAAUUACUCACUGUAACGUUCCCUGCAUCAUAGUUUUUCUGCUCAUGUGGACCUCUUGGCCGUUCCCCUUUGAAGCUAACAUUUCUGAACUACAUUGCAGGAGAUGGAUGGAUUUGACAGCAAUUCCGCUGUGAUUGUUCUUGGAGCUACAAACCGUUCUGAUGUCUUGGAUCCUGCCCUUCGUCGACCAGGGAGAUUUGAUCGUAUUGUUAUGGUUUGUAUCAUGCACUAUAUUUCAAUUGAACUUGCAGAAUGUUGGAAUCUGCCAUAUCAACCAGUUCCUUUUUGCUUAACUCGUAUCUCAUGGAGAUUAUGUCUGGAAUGGUUUCCAGGUAGAGACUCCUGACAGGAUUGGAAGAGAAGCUAUUAUAAAAGUGCAUGCCUCCAAGAAGGAACUUCCCCUUGGAGAUGAUGUUGAUCUUGGUGACAUUGCCUCUAUGACUACUGGUUUUACUGGGUAUUUUCUCAUUUACAUUGUCAUAUUUAAGUACACUGCUUCCCAAUCUCCUCUUCAGCUUCCUUUCCUCUUCAUAAAUUUCUACUUGUUGAUGAUGUGGGGAUGACUUAACGAAUUUUCUUUUUUUCAUUUCGCAGGGCUGAUCUUGCAAAUCUGGUAAAUGAAGCAGCCUUACUCGCUGGAAGAAAUAAUAAAGUUGUUGUAGAGAGGAUUGAUUUCAUUCAGGCAGUAGAACGAUCAAUAGCUGUAAGUCUCUCUCUCUUUGAUCAUUGUUUUGUUUAUUUGUUACAGUUUUCUAUUGUGACUCCUUAUAUUACAUCCAUUGGUUUCAGCUGUUUCCAUCUCCAAUGUUUUUAAACAUUUUUCUUCACAUUUUCCCUUGCCUUGAAAGUUAAUUUUAAUUAUUACUCCCAUAGCCAAUGAUGCUAUGCAAUCUUCUCAGUCUAGUUAUUGGCUUUGAUUCUUGGUUUUACUUUGUACCAUUCAUGUUUUGAAUUACUUUAUCACAAAACACAGAUAUUUGAGGGCAAAAAAAAAAAAAAAUGGAGUUUUUGUGCAAUCCUUUUAUAUUGCUUUUUGCACUUUCUAAUGAGACUAUCCUUAGGGAUAAAGGAUAUUCUCCAAUCUACUGUGAUUUACAUAGUUCCUCUUAGACAUUUGUCUCACAAGAUGUGUAAUUUUACUAAAGAAUUAUGAGAAAAUACUAAACUGAAAUUGAGUGACGAAAAGAAUGAUAUUUCAUAGGGCAUAGAGAAGAAAACUGCCAAAUUGAAGGGAUGUGAGAAGGCUGUGGUUGCAAGGCAUGAAGCUGGCCAUGCAGUAGUAGGUACAGCUGUUGCAAACCUUCUUCAUGGACAGCCACGUGUUGAGGUAAACAAUGGCAAUAAUUUACUUAAUCUCUCUCUCUCUCUUUUUUUUUUCUUUGUUUGUUCUUGUUAACUCAAUUUGAAAUUUGAAAAUGAUAAAAGAAAAUAUAUGAAAUUUGAAUGGAAAGUUCUGAGCUUGUGCUGUGUAGUUUAGGAGUGUGUACUGUUCACGUCAUGUACCAGAGACGGUCCCAGGGCAAUAAUUUCUAUCUUCCUUGUUAAGAAGAUAAUUGGCUUCUUAGCCAUUGACCUUCCUAAUUGUUUGUUUCUCUUUUGGUACUUGGGAGUUGGGAGGUCUGACAAGACCUAGAGUACAACGCUGACCUCAUAAACAGUAGUAUAUUUUCAAAUUUUCAAGCAACAUUUUGAAAAUUAGAAUGAAAUUGGAGAAUUAGAUUUCUUUACUUGUUAUACAAAAUUUUUAAUCUUGUUUGGUACAAGUGGGAGGUCCACUUGAUCUUUGGUUAUACAUGGAAUUAAGAACAAUAAUGUUUAACUUAUUAAGGUUGGGUUGUUCAAUAGUUGUCACAAUGGGCUUAAAUUAUCCCUGCGGCUUUGUUCACAUGAAAUGGAUAAUAUGGUAACUAGUCAACUCUUUUUGUCUGCAGAAACUGAGCAUACUGCCCAGAUCUGGAGGAGCAUUGGGCUUUACUUAUAUUCCUCCUACCAAUGAGGAUAGAUAUUUACUCUUCAUUGAUGAGUUACGUGGCCGUUUGGUUACUCUUCUUGGUGGACGUGCUGCAGAGGAAGUUAUCUAUUCAGGUCGUGUUUCUACUGGUGCACUUGAUGAUAUUAGGCGGGCGACAGACAUGGCAUUCAAGGCAGUAGCUGAAUAUGGUCUUAAUCAGACUAUAGGGCCUCUCUCUUUAGCUACGGUUUCUGGUGGAGGCAUGGAUGAAUCCGGGGGUGGAGUUCCUUGGGGACGAGAUCAGGUCCCUUUUUUAUACUCUUUUUCAUUAAAGUUCAGUUGAUCUUUUUUGUUUCCAAUUCCUACAGUGUCUGUAAUGAAGACUGAUCCAAAACGGAACUUGCAGGGACAUCUAGUUGAUCUUGUCCAAGGAGAGGUGAAGGCAUUACUGCAGUCUGCCCAUGAAGUAGCCCUUUCUGUUGUACGUGCUAAUCCAACUGUUUUGGAAGGGCUUGGUGCUCACCUGGAAGGUAAUCUGUUUUUGCUACCUGUUUUGUAUGUCAAAAUUCCUGAUCAUCCAAUUCGUUUUUUCAUUCUUUGCUAUAAGUUAUGAACUCGAGGUGUUUUUCAGAAAAUAAAAUCUAAUGGAAACUUACAAGGGAUCUAAUAGGUAGAUGAUUCCGAUAGCCGACUUUCCCUACUUGUUUGCUGUUUGAUGAAAUAUGUAUUGCUAUUUUGACAAUUUCCCUGAUGAACUCUUCAGUUCUACUUGUCAGUUCUUUAAUGCUAUUCACCAUUGUUUUGUUUAAAUUAUCUUAGUACUGAUGUAGUUUAUAUCCUAGUGUAGAUAACAUUCACACUCUUCAAACGGUUUAAUUUUUGUUGUGAAGUCAAUAUUCUGCAUCUUUAAAAAGGGGAAAGGAGAUCACUCUUUACUUCAUACUAUGGUCUAAUGCUUCGCUUUAUUCAGAAAAUGAGAAAGUAGAAGGUGAAGAGCUACAAAAAUGGUUGAAAUUGGUUGUUGCACCAAAGGAACUAAUCAUCUUCGUUGAAGGCAAGCAAGAGUCUCUUCUGCCGGUUCAAGCGGGCUCUGGAUAAGUGUUUUGCUCAUUGCUUGUCAACAUUGAGCAUUGCAUUGAACCAACCGACUAUAUCUUUCUUUGCACCUUGUCAAUGACCAUGCUGUGGCUACCGGCAUCAAAGCUCCCUUGCGCUUUUUUUUUUUCAUAUUUCAGCAAGGUGAGUCCUGGCUUAAGUAUUAACACUACGAAGUCUUCUCAUUAUUUUAUUCUCACUACACUUACCAGAGGAAACAUAGAGAAGGAAAUGGUGAAGCUGAAUAUUUAUUUCCCGAAAAAUCCUUCAAGCUUGUCUUCCCGUUCUUGAUAUUAUGGUGAUAAGUUCAGGUUGGUCUCCGUCUGUUCUGUUGUACAUUGGCUAUUAUUUUUAUCAGUCAUAACGGGUGGAGUUUUAACAGUAAUUGAGUUGUACACAUAAUUAUUAUGUGAAAUAUAAUAUAAGAUUAUUGCACAUAAUAAUGUUGGGUUAAAAAUGUGUCUUCAGAAGAACAUUGUACAUAUAGUAUGCUGUAGAAAAUACAUGCUGUUAAUAAUAGUUUCCCAAAAUGGAACUAAACAUUAUUUUUGAGCAUUGACAUGAAACCAGAAGUGUAAUUUCCUUCGUCCGAGAACAUGACACAUCAAAUAAAAAUAUAAAAACAGUACAAUUAACAAAAACUAAUAUGAUAUGCCCAACCCUCAUGUUUUGUAUUUAGGAUUUUGAUACAUUUAAUAAUUUAUCUUAUAUUAUAUCUGUCAAUUCAGCAGGUCAGGUUGGUUUUGGGUAUUGUUAAAUUAUCAAAUCAUUUUGGUUUGGUCUAAUUUAGAGUUCAAGUGAUUUCAGGUUUGAUUCUUUCAAGUUUGGGUUAUUUUAGUUCAUGUUGGUUCUUUUGGGUUAAUUGUUCGGACCAUUUUGAGUUGCGAUUGUUUUGGUUUGUUGCCUUUUAGUGUUAAAUCAGGUUAAAUCGGUGUGAAUCAAAAUUAAAAAUCUAUUUAUGUUUAUCCAAAUGUUCUUAAUUGAUUUAUUUUAGAUUUUUACAUAGGAAAGCAUUAGGGAGUAUAAGAUUAUGUUUGAUAAUUGAAAAGUUUUAUAAAAUAUGUUAAAAUUAAAUAUUUAAUAUAAUUAAAUUGUUUAAUAAAACAAUUAAAUUUAUUCUCUAUUUAAGUCUGUCUAAUUAUUUGCAUUCUGAGUUAAAAUAUUGAAAAUAUUAAUAUCCAGUUAAUUGAAUCUUUUAAACGCAUUUUAAAACAGAGCCUAAAUUAGACGUUUUACCAACUGAAAGCAAAAGCCAUCUAAUUAAGGGUGGGGUUUCAGUAUUUUUGACUUUUGCAUUUUAAAGUAUAAAUUAUCAAAAUAUCUUGUUUUUUAUUAACUAUUUAAAAUGUAUAUAAAAUUUUGGAUUAAUUUAUAUUUCAUGUGUCAUCAUAUUAAAUCAUUUAAAUAUGAUUUUAUUAUUAUAUUUAAAAUUUUAAAUUAUUUCAUGUCUAAUUAAAUUUAAAAAUAAUUUAUUAAUUAUUAAAAAAUAUUUUAUGUAUAAUUAUGUUAAAUUAUUUAAAUAAUAUCUAAUUUAAUUUAAUUUUUAAAUUUUCAACACUAGACAUUUUAAUUUUUCAUUUUAAAUUUUAACUUAAAAUUAAAACCGUCCUUUUUAAAUUGAACUUUUCACAAACAUAUCUUAGCAAUAGGCGAAGCUGGCCCUACAUCAUGAGGAGUUGAGAAGAAUGAAGGGUGAUGAGUCCGUUGAGGUUUGAUAUUUUGGCCCUCAAAAAUAUCAGUGUUGCUUUCAGAUCACAAUUUCGUUCUUUUGUCCGCAUCCUCGGGAAACAAACAAAGAAGUCCACUCGACCUGUUUACCUUUUCUCUCAUUUGGACCACAGUUCAAGCAACAGGUGGCCCAAUGUCAUCCUUUAAUUCCCAAUCCUUGUAUUCAACAAUAAAAUAUUUAAUUCAAGAUUAACGUAAAAUAGUACGAGUAGGGAUUGAGGUCUUUUACAAACAUUCCAAUGAAUUGAAUUUUAAAUUUUAAAUGUUUGGUUUAAUUUGAGGAAAAUCUUAUUUAAUUUAUAUACAUAUUAUAUACAUAAAAAAAUAGUCAGUACAAUUUUAGAUAUAAAAAUAAAAAAAAAUUAGUAAAAUCUUUCGUAAAAAAAUAAAACAUCUUCAAAAUAAAUAAUUUUUUUUCCUUUUCUUUACUAAAAAUAAGAUACGGAAAUGAUUAAAUCUUACCAAAUAAAUUAGUUUAUUACUCACUUGUAAACAUGCAGGACAAAUAAUACUCCUACCAAAUGUAGCUAAAGUGUUUUAUUUGAAUUCUCAAAGUAUCAAAUAUUGUAUCAAUUAUGCUUUUUCAUCAGUCUAAUAUUAAAUUUGGAUGUUAAAUGUUAACUCGAAUUUAAUAUGAAGAAUAUUUAAAACAUAUAGAUCAAAAUUUAAACAUGCGUAUACCAAAUGCAUUAACAAUAAAUUUGAUGCGUUAAAAAAAUAUCAUUAUUAAAAUUUAAGAAAAUUACAUUUUUUUCUUUUAGUACAUUAUAUCUAAUCUGUUUAUAUGAUAAACAUACAUGUAUUUAGAAUUUGACAUAUUUGUUUUAAAUAUGAUUCUCGUCAAAUUUGAGUUAACAUUUAUAUCUAUGUUGACAAUUAGGUUGAUGGAAGGAAGCAAUUGAUAUGAUAUCGAUGCUUUGAAAAUUAAAUUAGAAUGAUAUAAAGUUUGAGGAUUAAUUUAAAAUAUAAGUUAUAGUUUAGGGACAUAUAAUGAAAUUAACUCUAAAAAUGUAUAUAGAAAAUAUCUAAUAAAUGCACCACGUAAGCAUGCGCUUUUUCAUUAUUUUUGAGAGGGGAAAAAAAUGUUUCUGUCACUCUUUUACCAAUAUAAAUGGAAGAAGGCUGUGCAGGACGAGUGCUCAGUUAUUAUUCGAGAGCUCUCUCACUCUCCACUUUAGAGACGCUUAAUAGGGAUAAGAUCUUCCAGGUUCCUCCUCUUUUUUCACUCUUUUUUUUUUUAAUUUCUUUUGUUUGUUUGGCUGGUGAGAAAAUUAAAUUAAAUCUAAAUAAAUAGCACAUUUUCUUUUUAUUCUCCUUUUUUUUCUAGAUCACUGCAUGCUGGUUUAAUUCAAACAUAGGCUUGUAAUUUUACGUGUUUUUCUUUCUUUCUUUUUAUUUGUACUGCCCUGUUAUAUCAGAUACACUGAACCACUAAGGAAGCUGUUGUUUUUUCUUCUUAAUUUUGGUAACGUUUUCUGCGAUUAUAGUAAGUUAAUUAUUUAUAAGUGAUAAUGGUGAGUUAUAAAUCAGCGGUUGGAUUUGUAUGAGAAGUCUUCUUAAAUCUUAAUGGAUAUGCUCUAUGCUUAUUAAUCUUGAAUGCCUUUCUAUUUUAGUUCUGAAGAAAUUCAAAUUUUGACCUAUACGAAAAGUAAUGUUUACUUGUGCAAAAUAUCCAAGAUUAUGCAUUUUCUUUAGCAUUUUAUAUGAAUACACAGCACACUGAACCAGGAGACAUAUAUAUUGCAUAUAUAUUGUAGAUCGAGGGUUUUCACUGAAAUGCAUAGAACUAUGUAAUCACAUUUACGUCCAUCGUGGUGUCCUUUAGAUUAUUAUUUAUUAGAAACUAGACUAGAAUUCUUCUGUUUAUCUGAUGAAAACUUUAUGAAGUUGGAAAUACUAGAGUAUAGACCUUCUGUCCUUGCUGGUAAUGCUGAUUAACGCGGCAUUUUUUCUUUUUCAUUCUAGAUUUAUCUUUUAUGCCAUUAGUUAAUUUAUUUGUAUAUUUAAUGUAUACAAAUUUGUUAUUUUUAUUCUCAAGAGUAGGCAACGAUAAUUGCUUUUUUUCUAAUCAAAUUCGACCUUCACGUCCUGCAUUUAUCAAUUAUGUUUGUUCUCGAUGUUUUAUGUAUAGUUAAUCAUUUGAUGAUUGUGUGGUGAUGAUUUAUUGAUAACUCACGACAUGCUUGGUCAAUCCAGAUAUGGCAUCGGUGCAUGCUAGCUUCACAUCAGUUGUAUGCAAGAAUGGCAACCAUUCUGCUCCUUCAUGGUUUCCUUGUACGACCUUCUUACCCGGCUUUGAUGUGGUUGGCCGUGUUUCAAAUGCUUGUAAGAAGGAAAUAUGCCCUUCUAUGAGUUCAGGUCCUAAAGCCACAUUAACUUUUGAUCCUCCAACAACCAAUUCAGAGAAAAGCAAACAGAAGAAGCAUACCAUAAAUCCUGCUUCCCCUGAUUUUAUGCCACUUCCAUCAUUUGAAGAAUGUUUCCCAAAGAGCUCAAAAGAAUGCAGGUUAAUUUAGUUAUAUAUAUGCAAUUUGUUGGUUCUGUUUUCUUUCCCUUUUGCUUGAAAACACUUUUUAUGCGUGAUGAACCUUUCAGGGAGGUUAUUCAUGAAGAAUCUGGCCAUGUACUCAAGGUUCCCUUUCGAAGGGUUCAUUUGACUGGAGAUGUGCCAAACUUCGACACAUAUGACACCAGUGGUCCUCAAAACAUCAAUCCACGCAUUGGUAGGAUGCUCAACCUUGCUCUCAGCUUCUUGCUCCUUUUUGAAGGACAUUAGCUUUUCUUCACUUUGUUUUGCUUAGCCAACUCCCCUCUUAUAUGUUCUUGAUAAAUCUUUGAUUGUUUGUUUGGGUCUUUACUCCACUAUGAUUAUUUUAUGUUCCUUUCAUAUAUUGGAUCUCUUGAUAUUGUUAUAGUUUUAUGGUCAAGUUAAAUGCUAAGUUUUGUACUUGACAUCUUUAAACAGGACUCCCUAAAUUGCGCAAGGGCUGGGUUGACAGACGGGAAAAACUGGGUGCACCUAGAUACACUCAGAUGUACUAUGCUAAGCAGGGAAUCAUUACUGAGGAAAUGUUAUAUUGUGCUACUCGUGAGAAGCUUGACCCAGAAUUUGUUAGGUCAGAGGUUGCCCGUGGGAGGGCGAUCAUUCCUUCCAACAAAAAGCACUUAGAGCUGGAACCAAUGAUAGUUGGACGAAACUUUUUGGUCAAAGUAAAUGCAAAUAUUGGAAACUCAGCCGUUGCAAGUUCAAUUGAGGAGGAAGUUUACAAGGUCCAAUGGGCAACAAUGUGGGGUGCUGAUACUGUUAUGGAUCUCUCAACUGGGCGCCACAUUCAUGAAACCCGUGAAUGGAUCCUACGUAACUCUGCUGUGCCUGUUGGGACCGUGCCAAUCUAUCAAGCACUUGAAAAAGUCAAUGGAAUUGCUGAAGAUCUUUGUUGGGAAGUCUUCAGGGACACCCUGAUUGAGCAAGCUGAGCAGGGUGUAGAUUACUUCACAAUCCAUGCUGGGGUACUGCUGCGGUACAUUCCCUUAACAGCAAAACGGAUGACAGGAAUAGUUUCUCGAGGAGGAUCUAUUCAUGCAAAAUGGUGCCUGGCGUACCAUAAGGAGAAUUUUGCUUAUGAGCAUUGGGAUGACAUACUUGAUAUCUGCAACCAAUAUGAUGUGGCGCUUUCAAUCGGGGAUGGACUAAGACCUGGAUCCAUAUAUGAUGCCAAUGACACUGCACAGUUUGCUGAGCUUUUAACCCAAGGGGAACUGACUCGUAGGGCUUGGGAAAAGGAUGUACAGGUAUCUCAAUGCACCUUGGAAGUGCUCCUUUAGCAUUCUGUUCAUAAAAUGUUUCUAAAGUACUGCUCAAUUUGAAGCGUAUUACUGGCUUUACAUGGUUUUGAUUAUCUUAUAACUUUAACAUGAUUUUUUUUUUGGUGCUUUUCAGGUAAUGAAUGAAGGACCUGGACACAUCCCAAUGCACAAAAUUCCAGAAAAUAUGCAAAAGCAGCUUGAGUGGUGCAAUGAAGCACCUUUCUAUACCCUUGGUCCUUUGACAACUGAUAUUGCUCCUGGAUACGAUCAUAUCACUUCUGCAAUUGGUGCAGCCAAUAUUGGGGCUCUUGGCACAGCACUUCUGUGUUAUGUAACUCCAAAGGAGCACCUUGGGU
RNAcentral lists this long non-coding RNA (16029 nucleotides) under Gossypium barbadense (sea-island cotton). Its description in RNAcentral is "long non-coding RNA (GBAR_LNC001986)". Lineage: Eukaryota; Viridiplantae; Streptophyta; Magnoliopsida; Malvales; Malvaceae. The record is from RNAcentral.